RNAcentral lists this long non-coding RNA (655 nucleotides) under Rattus norvegicus (Norway rat). RNAcentral's name for it is "long non-coding RNA NONRATT032067". The record is from RNAcentral. Lineage: Eukaryota; Metazoa; Chordata; Mammalia; Rodentia; Muridae.
GAAUGCUGGGGGCUGAGGGUGUCUGUGAGGGAGCAUAAGAGCUUUCAGUAAGUGGUAUUUACCUAGCCUCCUGAAAAACAUGGACAAAUGUCAGAUCAGACACCUAGAAAUCUAGGAAUUAGUGGAUAUUCUGACAGGAUAGCAUGGAAGUCAUUACUAGAGACAAUCUGAGCGUUGAUCCUCAUAUAUAAAGUUCUCUCCCUAGGAAUUAGUGGAUAUUCUGACAGGAUAGAAUGGAAGUCAUUACUAGAGACAAUCCAAGCUUUGAUCCUCAGAAAUAAAGUUCUCUCCCUAGAUGGGGGAACUCUCACAACAAACAUUUCCAGGAAAACCCUGACAUGGGAUUUAUCUCUACCAAGAUGUCUUACAAAAUAUAGUGAUUUAAAUUCUCCAACAAUCUUCCUCUAUUACCCCUCAAAUUUAUGACUGAAAUGAGAAACAUAGACUCUAGUCUUUAAAAAUAUGCUUUAGUCUCACUCCAUAAGUUAUUUAGAUUUUUCCCCUCCUUGGUUCUUACAGAGAGUUCUGCCUGACUUCACAUCUGAGGUUUCUGUUUAUUGAUUAGGGUUUAGAGGGGGAGCCCAUGACUGUCAUGGUGGGAAGCACAGUAGCAGGACGACCCUGGAGCAGUAGCUGAGAGCUUAUAUCUGAUCAC